CAGGUGCAGCCAAGCCCCCGCCGCCGCAGCGGCCGCUGCCCUCGGACCCGCCGGGCCCGUCGCUGCCCCGCGGGGAGAGCCCCGCCCGGCACCCCUAUGUCACCGUGAUCCCCGCCAGGCCCGCCCCGGCCCCGCCACAGGCCUGAGCGGCGGGCAGCGAGUGCGCAGCGCUGGAUCCGCGGGGGAGGCCGGGCCCCGCCGCCCGCUUUUUCUCCCGCCACCUCAAUAAAGGGGCUGUGAGCCGCCUGUG
Non-coding RNA from Lonchura striata (white-rumped munia), 250 nucleotides. The record is from RefSeq and is a predicted model, not a curated record. NCBI's taxonomy places the organism in Eukaryota, Metazoa, Chordata, Aves, Passeriformes, Estrildidae.